GCUCAUGCCGAUUGGACGAUCAACUGCAAUGUACCUGAAAUAUUAUAUUAUCUUCUACAUAAUCAUUCCGCGGAUAGUUUUGGUAAUUGCACAAGGCCAAGCAAGUGAAAGUUUGAAUUUUUGUUUUAAUUCAACUCUUGAAGGUAGGUAACUUGACUACGAACUUCCAUGCGAAGGCUGUCGAUUAAAACUUCGACGUUUUCAUAAUAACUUGUGACGGUCAGCUUUUUGUUGAAUACUAUAGACGUACCUAUAUAACCUACGCAAUUUACUUAUAUAUAUAUAUAUACCAAUUUGGUUAUGUUCGCCAGGUUUCAGACUUAAUACAACCGUUUGGCUGAAUAAAAGCGUUUCCAAACGGAUAGAAUGUAUUAUGGAAUGUGUCAAGGAGCCAUGUUGUAGGUCAAUCAACUACAAAAAGAUCUUUCAGAAUAAACCAAAUUGUGAAAUGUUACAUGACGUGAUCUACAGUACAUCUGAGAAAGUAUUGGGGAGAAACCCUUCUUAUGAUUAUGUUUAUCUGGUUGACCCACAAAAGGUAUGAAUUGCCUGUAGAGAGAGAUUACGUAUGGUUUCAAGAACUUCUGCUGAAAGGAAAUAUGAAAUUAAAAUAAAAUAAAACUGGUGUGUAUUCCAUAGCGCAACAGUAGUACAGGAAUUUGUACAUUUGGUAAAGCGUGUAAGCGAACCGUAAUAAUGUGCAAGUCAGUCUGUUUAAAAAACUCGUGCUGAAAAUUUCUUUCAAAUUUUCUACACGCUGCACGUUUUUACUUUUGCAGCCUAGCGGCAUGAAACUUCAUUCAGGAGCGCAGAGUAUGUAAAUCAAUGCGUCACGGCAUAUAUACAUGCAGUUUUCAAAUUUAAUAUCACUUCAUGCACGCGAAGUAGAUUAAAUUGCUCAAAGGCACGGUCAGCUUUUUUUACCGCUUGAACGGAUUGCUUCAAAAUUACCAG
Paramuricea clavata is the source of this 954-nucleotide non-coding RNA. Lineage: Eukaryota; Metazoa; Cnidaria; Anthozoa; Malacalcyonacea; Plexauridae. The record is from the annotation of a GenBank genome assembly.